UACGUAGGGGGCAAGCGUUGUCCGGAAUUAUUGGGCGUAAAGCGCGUGUAGGCGGUUACGUAAGUCUGCUGUGAAAGUCGGAGGCUCAACCUUCGAAAGCCGGUGGAUACUGCGUGACUAGAGUACGGAAGAGGAGAGUGGAAUUCCUGGUGUAGCGGUGAAAUGCGCAGAUAUCAGGAGGAACACCAACGGCGAAGGCAGCUCUCUGGGACGUUACUGACGCUGAGACGCGAAAGCGUGGGGAGCAAACAGG
Molecule: ribosomal RNA, 253 nt
Filed under: uncultured bacterium
Lineage: Bacteria
Description: partial 16S ribosomal RNA
Rfam family: Bacterial small subunit ribosomal RNA
Source: RNAcentral